Molecule: small RNA, 161 nt
Filed under: Chelonoidis abingdonii (Abingdon island giant tortoise)
Lineage: Eukaryota; Metazoa; Chordata; Testudines; Testudinidae
Description: TUC338 (ENSCABG00000009162.1)
Source: RNAcentral
CUGACAGUACUGGAGCCUGAAAUCUGACCACAGACCAGGCAGCAGCCAUGUCCUUUAUUCUGCGCUGCCCUGCCAAUGUGCUUCAGCUUUGACCUGGAGGGAUCACCUCUAGGAACUAAGUGAGUAAUUCAGUCUCCAUGUCCAGUCAGAUCAUGGCUCUC